UACGAGGGGGGCAAGUGUUGUUCGGAAUCACUGGGCGUAAAGGGUCCGUAGGCGGUGUAGCAAGUCGAUAGUGAAAUCUCUGGGCUUAACCCAGAGGCUGCUAACGAAACUGCUGUGCUAGAGUGUGAGAGAGGCGAGUGGAAUUACGGGUGUAGCGGUGAAAUGCGUAGAUAUCCGUAGGAACAUCCGAGGCGAAGGCGGCUCGCUGGAUCACAACUGACGCUGAGGGACGAAAGCUAGGGGAGCAAACAGG
This 253-nucleotide ribosomal RNA is filed under the name uncultured bacterium. Its description in RNAcentral is "partial 16S ribosomal RNA". It matches the Rfam family "Bacterial small subunit ribosomal RNA", at positions 524 to 776 of the family's 1533-position model. The record is from RNAcentral.